ACGUAGGCGGCUCCGUAAGUCUGGUGUGAAAUCUCACGGCUCAACCGGGAGGCUGCACCAGAUACUGCGGAGCUCGAGGACGGGAGAGGAGAUUGGAAUUCCCGGCGUAGCGGUGAAAUGCAUUGAUAUCGGGAGGAACACCAGUGGCGAAGGCGGAUCUCUGGCCCGUUGCUGACGCUGAGGUGCGAAAGCUGGGGGAGCGAAAGGGAUUAGAUACCCUGGUAGUCCACGCCCUAAACGAUGCGCACUCGCUGGAGGGGCGCAAGCUUCUCUGGCUUAGGAAACCGUUAAGUGCGCCGCCUGGGGACUACGCCCGCAAGGGUGAAACUCAAAGGAAUUGGCGGGGGCCCGCACAAGCGGUGGAGCAUGUGGUUUAAUUCGAUACAAACCGAAGAACCUUACCUGGGCUUGACAUCCACGAGAAACGCCUGGAAACAGGCGCCUCGGGAAGCCGACCCGUGGACACCGGUUGCAUGGCUGUCGUCAGCUCGUGCCGUGAGGUGUUGGGUUAAGUCCCGCAACGAGCGCAACCCCUGUCCUCUGUUGCCAGCGGGUCAUGCCGGGCACUCUGAGGAGACUGCCGUGGUCAACACGGAGGAAGGUGGGGACGACGUCAAGUCAGCAUGGCGGUUACGUCCAGGGCGUCACACAUGCUACAAUGGGUGGUACAAAGGGCAGCCAACGCGCGAGCGGGAGCGAAUCCCAAAAAACCACCCUCAGUUGGGAUCGCAGUCUGCAACUCGACUGCGUGAACGCGGAAUCGCUAGUAACG
This 772-nucleotide ribosomal RNA is filed under the name uncultured Armatimonadota bacterium. RNAcentral describes it as "bacterial SSU rRNA". It matches the Rfam family "Bacterial small subunit ribosomal RNA", at positions 569 to 1343 of the family's 1533-position model. The record is from RNAcentral. Lineage: Bacteria; Bacillati; Armatimonadota.